Molecule: long non-coding RNA, 905 nt
Organism: Oreochromis aureus
Lineage: Eukaryota; Metazoa; Chordata; Actinopteri; Cichliformes; Cichlidae
Source: Ensembl
GUUGAAUCUGUUCAUCUGGACGUAGCGUUUUGUUCCUUCAGUGGGCUGGUUUCAGUCAUUAUGCAAAUGUACUGUUUAUAAGGUUUGGGGAAACCUGCAGUCAGCUGAGACUGAAGAAGUCACUUGGAUGAGUGACGAAACGUUUCUCCCACAAAACGCUACGUCCAGAUGAACAGAUUCAACUUUUGGAGAUACUCAGGUUAAAGAAACUCCAGCAGCUGUCUAUAGUAUUGAGUGUCCACUAGAAUAGAAAUAAAAGCGUUCUAACAUCUCACCUGCUUGUUUUUAUUAAGCGGAGUCCCGGAGCUCCACGGCCGGCUGGGAGGUUCUCUUCCCCGGCGUCCGGCUGGGGCUUCCCCCGUUCCCCAUACGGAGGCUCCCCGCGGGGCUACUCCCCCUACUCUCCGGGAUCUCCAAGCUACUCUCCGGGUUCUAAUCGAGGAUACAGAGACGGAUCUCCAGCCGGGUUCGGAAACGGUUCCCGGAGGUUCGGAGAUUCUCCGGCCGGGUUCAGCAGCGGCACGCAGGGGUUCGGGGGUCCGAUGCGGCGCAGAGGGGACGGUUUCCGGCGGCCUCAGUCCUUCAGUCCAACUUCAGCUCCGAACUUCAAGUCUUCAGAUGCGCCCGUGCAGAAGUACUUCAGCCCGUCUAUGGUGCAGGAUCCAUGGAAAAAUCUGCAGCCCGUCACCACCAUGGAUGCCGCUGCGGCCAGGCGGAUCACAUGACUGGAAAUAACACAAGUGGUGACCACAUGACAUCACCAGCAAUGAUCAAUAACUGUGAUGAGACGAACUGAAGUUUUUAGUCAGAUGUUUUAACCUUUUUAAAAAUUGUUUUUUAAACUGUUUGUGAAAAGAAGUUUUACGUUUUUAAAAUAUAAAAAGUUUAAAUUUUGCUUCAAAUCG